RNAcentral lists this transfer RNA (76 nucleotides) under Deltaproteobacteria bacterium 13_1_20CM_2_69_21. RNAcentral describes it as "tRNA-Gly". It matches the Rfam family "tRNA". From Rfam's summary of the family: Transfer RNA (tRNA) molecules are approximately 80 nucleotides in length. Lineage: Bacteria; Deltaproteobacteria. RNAcentral also lists the same sequence under 4 other names. The record is from RNAcentral.
GCGGAACUAGCUCAGCUGGUAGAGCGUCGCCUUGCCAAGGCGAAGGUCGCCGGUUCGAACCCGGUGUUCCGCUCCA